GGCAUAUGUGGUAUUGGGGUCAGGGUAAGGGAGCUUUGACACAGUCCUUGUUUUUGUAGGAGUUAGUCAUCAACAAUAAAAAUUGGAUUGCUCUCUUGUACUGGUAUAUUACUGGACUUUCCAGAAAACAUUGCACACUUUAGGAUAGGUCAUAGUAGUCUUUGCACAACUAAAUGGUGCUGAGAUUGUUGUUAGCAGGCUCUCAGAAUUUGGCGUUGCUACAUAAUCUGAUCUUUGCGCGUAACUCCUGUCGCAGGAUUUAGUUAUUAGUAAUUAUGAUAUGCCUGUAAACAUUGCAUCAUAAACACUAAAAAGUCAUUUGCAUGUGUCUCUGGUUUUAUUGUUCUUGUUCCUCCAAAUGAUCAUUACCUUCGAUUGCAAAUUUAGCACUUCUAGACUACUACUAUAAUAAUCACAUAUAAGACUAACUAAAUGUGCAAGUUAUUGUUUCUACAGGCAUUUGGGUGGGCAUAUAUAAA
RNAcentral lists this unclassified non-coding RNA (479 nucleotides) under Hevea brasiliensis (rubber tree). The record is from RNAcentral. Lineage: Eukaryota; Viridiplantae; Streptophyta; Magnoliopsida; Malpighiales; Euphorbiaceae.